GGCACUGGGAGGCUUUUGGGAGUUACUGGGAGUUACUGGGAGGCAUUCAGGGGUUACUGGGAGUCACUGGGAGGCGUUCAGGGAUUACUGGGAGGUGUUGAGGAGUUACUGGGUGGGUUUUGGGCUUUACUGGGAGUUACUGGGAGGUGCUGAGGGGUUACUGGGAGGUGUUGAGGGGUUACUGGGAGGGUUUUGGGCUUUACUGGGAGUCACUGGGAGGCGUUCAGGGGUUACUGGGAGGCAUCUGAGGGCUACUGGGUCUUACUGGGAGUCACUGGGAGGUUUCUAGGCUUUACUGGGAAUCACUGGGAGGGUUUUAGAGAUUACUGGGAGUCACUGGGACAGUUUUAGGGGCUACUGGGGGGCAUUGAGAGGUUUGUAGGGGGUGCUGGGGCUUACUGGGAGUCACUGGGAACUCUGUACGGUUACUGGGACACAACUGGGAGUUACUGGGAACUCUGUACGGUUACUGGGGCUUACUGGGAGUUACUGGGAACUCUGUACGGUUACUGGGGCUUACUGGGAGUCA
This is a long non-coding RNA of Poecile atricapillus (Black-capped chickadee), 529 nucleotides long. RefSeq lists it as uncharacterized. The record is from RefSeq and is a predicted model, not a curated record. NCBI's taxonomy places the organism in Eukaryota, Metazoa, Chordata, Aves, Passeriformes, Paridae. The transcript has 3 exons.